Long non-coding RNA from Oncorhynchus kisutch (coho salmon), 715 nucleotides. RefSeq lists it as uncharacterized. The record is from RefSeq and is a predicted model, not a curated record. NCBI's taxonomy places the organism in Eukaryota, Metazoa, Chordata, Actinopteri, Salmoniformes, Salmonidae. The transcript is spliced from 3 exons.
UUCUGUGUGUUCAGUGACAUCGUCUGUUAGGGGCUUCUUCUUUCUGGAAUAGUUGUCUUUCACACCUCACUGAGUAACACUUAGGUCCUUUCUGUGGUUUCCAUUCACACUCAGCAAGUAGAGUACGGCAACAAAGUGUGGACAAAUGCUGUUAGUGUGAGGAAAUGGGUCUGUAAUGUAUAAUCACUAUAAUGUGUGAUUGUGUUUCAGUGUUACUGGGUCAGGAUGGCAGGAGUGUGAAGUACAUCACUCAGAGUAUCUGUACCUUGAAGGGGUUAACAGUAGAGCUGACCUGCUGUUACACAUAUCCCAGUGGUACAGUCACAACAACCUUCUGGUUCACUAGAAAUGAUGCUGAGGAGAAUCCUGUGACUCUGAGUGAUGAACCAGACUACACAGGUCAUGUGACGUACUGUAGCAACAAGAAGAAUGGCCACACCCUGACAAUCAGAGAUCUGAGAGAGUGUGACUCAGCUAUGUGCAAUGUCCAUCCUGACCCUAACUGGGACACACACCACUGAAAAUGAGGACCAGACACUCUGGCAGUAGUGACACGUUCACAUCUCUUCAGAGAGAUGCUCAGCACUCCGUAUAUCAGACCAUCCAGGGGAGAAAACCACCACAGAACCUGGACUAAAGAGAACCACCACAGAACCUGGACUAAAGAGAACCACCACAGAACCUGGACUGAAGAGAACCACCACAGAACCUGGAC